This 219-nucleotide long non-coding RNA is filed under the name Prunus persica (peach). RNAcentral's name for it is "long non-coding RNA (PPER_LNC008189)". Lineage: Eukaryota; Viridiplantae; Streptophyta; Magnoliopsida; Rosales; Rosaceae. The record is from RNAcentral.
CAGGGGGCAUGAUGGAGAUAAGGCCGAACAAACGGCCAUUACAUGAGUACCAAGAUAGGCACGAGAGGCCACAAUAUCAACCUAAGAGAAGAAAUUAGCAGAUGCCACUGAGAUAUGAAGAUGUUGAUCUACAGAACCCAAGCCGAAACAAAAAUAGAAGCAUGUGGGUUUCAGUAGGAAAAGGAAAGAGUCGAGAUGUGGCCUAUGUAUCAAGACCUC